CAAGUCGAGCGAACAGAUAAGGAGCUUGCUCCUUUGACGUUAGCGGCGGACGGGUGAGUAACACGUGGGUAACCUACCUAUAAGACUGGGAUAACUUCGGGAAACCGGAGCUAAUACCGGAUAACAUUUGGAACCGCAUGGUUCUAAAGUGAAAGAUGGUUUUGCUAUCACUUAUAGAUGGACCCGCGCCGUAUUAGCUAGUUGGUAAGGUAACGGCUUACCAAGGCAACGAUACGUAGCCGACCUGAGAGGGUGAUCGGCCACACUGGAACUGAGACACGGUCCAGACUCCUACGGGAGGCAGCAGUAGGGAAUCUUCCGCAAUGGGCGAAAGCCUGACGGAGCAACGCCGCGUGAGUGAUGAAGGGUUUCGGCUCGUAAAACUCUGUUAUUAGGGAAGAACAAAUGUGUAAGUAACUGUGCACAUCUUGACGGUACCUAAUCAGAAAGCCACGGCUAACUACGUGCCAGCAGCCGCGGUAAUACGUAGGUGGCAAGCGUUAUCCGGAAUUAUUGGGCGUAAAGCGCGCGUAGGCGGUUUCUUAAGUCUGAUGUGAAAGCCCACGGCUCAACCGUGGAGGGUCAUUGGAAACUGGGAAACUUGAGUGCAGAAGAGGAAAGUGGAAUUCCAUGUGUAGCGGUGAAAUGCGCAGAGAUAUGGAGGAACACCAGUGGCGAAGGCGACUUUCUGGUCUGUAACUGACGCUGAUGUGCGAAAGCGUGGGGAUCAAACAGGAUUAGAUACCCUGGUAGUCCACGCCGUAAACGAUGAGUGCUAAGUGUUAGGGGGUUUCCGCCCCUUAGUGCUGCAGCUAACGCAUUAAGCACUCCGCCUGGGGAGUACGACCGCAAGGUUGAAACUCAAAGGAAUUGACGGGGACCCGCACAAGCGGUGGAGCAUGUGGUUUAAUUCGAAGCAACGCGAAGAACCUUACCAAAUCUUGACAUCCUUUGAAAACUCUAGAGAUAGAGCCUUCCCCUUCGGGGGACAAAGUGACAGGUGGUGCAUGGUUGUCGUCAGCUCGUGUCGUGAGAUGUUGGGUUAAGUCCCGCAACGAGCGCAACCCUUAAGCUUAGUUGCCAUCAUUAAGUUGGGCACUCUAGGUUGACUGCCGGUGACAAACCGGAGGAAGGUGGGGAUGACGUCAAAUCAUCAUGCCCCUUAUGAUUUGGGCUACACACGUGCUACAAUGGACAAUACAAAGGGCAGCUAAACCGCGAGGUCAUGCAAAUCCCAUAAAGUUGUUCUCAGUUCGGAUUGUAGUCUGCAACUCGACUACAUGAAGCUGGAAUCGCUAGUAAUCGUAGAUCAGCAUGCUACGGUGAAUACGUUCCCGGGUCUUGUACACACCGCCCGUCACACCACGAGAGUUUGUAACACCCGAAGCCGGUGGAGUAACCAUUUAUGGAG
RNAcentral lists this ribosomal RNA (1411 nucleotides) under Staphylococcus sp. NT N1. RNAcentral's name for it is "16S ribosomal RNA". It matches the Rfam family "Bacterial small subunit ribosomal RNA". The record is from RNAcentral. Lineage: Bacteria; Bacillati; Bacillota; Bacilli; Caryophanales; Staphylococcaceae.